Long non-coding RNA from Triticum aestivum (bread wheat), 8135 nucleotides. RefSeq lists it as uncharacterized. Lineage: Eukaryota; Viridiplantae; Streptophyta; Magnoliopsida; Poales; Poaceae. The record is from RefSeq and is a predicted model, not a curated record. The transcript has 3 exons.
UCUCCGAGCAUGCGCGUGCAUGUGUGUGUGUGUGUGCUGACAGCAGAUAUAACUUGAACAACUUAUGGCACAGGCUUCAUUUUUGCCAUCUUACACAAAUUACCGGUAAACCUUUGUUUGAUAUAUUUAUUUUUUUCAUCUUCCAGAUCCGUAUAUAUUGGCUUGAUAAAAAUCCUUAAUUUGCAUCCUUUCUCUUAUGUUUAAAAGAUUUUGCAUUAUUGCCAUUUGGCUUCUUCAGUUUCGUGAAUUUGCUUGUUUCAUCUGGCCAUGGUCAGGCUUGUUCUGUUAAUUUGUUUGUUAUGUUUGAGAAUGGCGUUUUGGAGACCGAGCUCCAUGGAGGCCUUUAUUUUUGAAAAAUUCAAAUUCAAACUUUUAUAUUUCAAAAAAUUCUGAAAAAAAAUAUGCGUGUAUGUAAGGAUGUAACCCACAUGUGUGUAAAAUUUCAUGAUGAAAUACAUUGAAAUGCAACCUGUGCAAAAAAGACAAAUUCAUGGCCUGGGAGGAUGAAUAGUAUCAUGUGUUAAAUAGCCCCAGAUUUGUCUUUUUUGCACAGCCCUCAUUUCAACGUAUCUUUCCCUGAAAAUUUACGCACAUGUGUGUUAUGCCUUCAUGUAUAUCUGUACCCUUUUUUAGAAUUUUUUGAAAUGUAAAAAUAUGAAUUUCAAUGAAAUUUGAAUUUUGAAUCUGGAGGCCUCCAGUGAGCUCGGUCACCAAAUGCAGUUUCCGGUUAUGUUUCUAGUAUCUAUUUUGUUGUUGUUUGCCUUCGCUUUGGCUAUUUCAUCUGAUCUAUCUUAGUAUAGUUUUGUUUUCUUGGUUUAUUUUGUAGUACAGUUUAUUGCUAUAUAUUUUGCUUGAUACUUGGAUUUGCCCCUGGUCCAAUGAUGAUUACGAUGGAGCCCUCAUGCAUGCAUGGAUGGAUCGGCUUAGAUUUGAGCUCCAAAGAGGGCCAGCUGUUGCAUUCGCAAAGUUGAAGCCCCUGAAAAUGGCUAAUGCAGCACCGUCUUCUUUGUUCUGGGCGCUGAGGCAUGUCUUGGAUCAACCUUUGCUUCUGCUGAAGCUUUGGCACUGACGCCUGGCAAAAGGUGUUCUUCUUCUGCUGCUGCUUCUGCUUCUUCUUCUUCUUCUUCUUCACUCGGUUGUUGUUGUCUCUGGCAACUCAUGUGCUAUACCGGUGAACCAAGGCACGCCCCAGUGCCAGCUUUGAAGCCUGCUGCAUUAGCCUGUGAUGAAACUGAAAUCUGAGGGUCAUAUUGUAAUACAACCUUGUUGGUAACUCUUUUGCAUGUGCUCACUGCCUAACAGCCAGUGUGCACAUUGUGCUGUCAUGGUUUGACACUGUCUUCAGAUGCCCGAUGAUGUAAUUGGGCAGGCAUGCUUUGCUUCUCUUAUUUCAUUAUCUUGGUAUAUUAGGUAAGGUUUAGGCUAGUGUUUUGAAUAAAGGUAUGUGCUUCAUGGUGCUGAAGUGUAUAUGUGGAUUGCUAGCUCUUUCCAUCAGUUUGGACUUUUGGUUGCGUUGGCUAGUGCUGGAUCAUUGUUCCACAAUCAAUGACACAAAAUCGCUCACAUCCCCCUGCCAUGUCGUCAGAUAUGAUGGCACAGGAUCACACUCUGACAGAUGAUACAAUUUCAUCUGAGGAUAAUUCAUACAUUCAUAUAUUUAUUUCUUUGUGCUAUCAUUAUUGUUGUGUCACGUGUCAUAUGUAUCAUAAACAUUCCAUUUGCCAUUCUCAGAUGCAGGUUGGUUCUUCUAUAGUAAACGCAACAUCCGUAUUUAGUCAUCAAAUGUCUUGUCUAUGUUUGUUGAUUUCUUUCUGCUUUGUUACCAGUUUGUGUUCUCUUUCCUAUGUCUCUUUGCGAAACCUCAUAUUACACCUUGACCCAACUAAUAUCCCAAUUGUGGGCAUGUGGCUUGCACUUAAUUUCUAUUGUGACAGAAUUGUGAUGUUUCAUUUUGUUCUUGAUGGUGGAUAGAAUCAUGUAAGUGUUGGCUUCUAUAAUGCAUCGCCUAAUGAUGAAAAAUGAAUGUAGAGAUGGCACUUGGACAUGAUCCUGUCCUCCUCCCCCUCUCUCCCUCUCCCUCUCUCUGCAUGGAUGCGUAAUGGCACAUGCAGCAGCAGCAGCAGUUCACACCAGAUCAAUCUUCACAUGCCUUAUGGACAAAAGGGAGAUCAUAUCUUGUGCCAUCAAUGAAUGCUACAUCUAUGGCAUCUGAGGGCAUGAUGUUCUUUUUUUUUCAUACCUUACACGGAUUACCGGCAAAAUUUGCAUGGAUAUAUUUAUUUUCAGUUCCAUCUUCCAGAUUGUCUCUGUUGGCUUGAUGGGGACCCUUCAGUAGCAUUGAUGUUCAGAUUUUUCAUCAUUUUUGCUUUGCUUCAUCAUUUUUGUGCAUUUUGCUAUGGUUUCAUCUGAUUAUGAUUAAGUUUGCUCUGUUGAUUUUCAUUACUUUUGUAGUACUCCCUCCGUCCCAAAAUAAGUGUCACUGAUUUAGUACAAAGUACAAAGCGGUACUAAAUCAGUGACACUUAUUUUGAGACGGAAGGUGUACCUUUUUAGCUUGUUUUGCUUUUCACCUCGGCAGAGGAAAAUACUUGGGUGUUUCAUGAUUUAUCACGAAGGAUCACUGUUGUAAAUCAGCUUGCAUUUGAGUUACAAUCACGAAGUGGUAGCUCUUUACCAGGGUGAAGGUUUUGAAGUGGCCAAAGUAUUGUUGGUUUCUCUUUGUAAUGUUUAUUAGUGGUUUUAAAUUAGUAUUUUGGUUAUGAUUUGUGCUUUAAAAUUUUCCCUGAAGUGCUGAUACCAGUUCUAUACACCAAGAUUAGUCUUUUGGAUGGUGGUUAGAAGUAUAGAAAUGCCUUCUACAGUGUAUUGCCCCAUAAUGAAAACUAAUAUGUAGAGAUGGUGCAUGACAUGGUCCCUCCCUCUCUCUCGCUGUAAUAAAUUGGAUAAAAUUUAUUUUAAGGUGGCUAAUCUAAAUAUAGGAGGAUGUGGUUGCAGACCUUGGGAUGUUUUCCAGUUUUUUGUUUGAAAACAAUUGAUCUGCUGUUAAUUUGAAGAUGACAAGGAAAUAAGGAGGAAAAUUAAAAGGCUUCUUUGGUGGAGGGGUAGGAGAAGCCCGGAUCAGCCAAGGAAGCAGGUGAGCUGCCGUGUAUGGAUCGGUCGAGGAAGGAGACGUCUUGUGCUGUAAGGGUGUCUGCAGACUGAUUUUUUCUUGAUUUGAUGUAUUGUCAUUGCAUAUAUCAUUAUCUCCAAGUCUGAUUAGUGUUUGAUUUUGCACAGAUUUGUUUGGGAUCUGCUUUGAAGCAAGCAUCGUUCCUUGUGGUCACAGGUAAAUUUGCAGUCCUGUCUAUUAAUGGUUGGUUCAGAACAUUAGGAGCACAGUGACAAGUUUCAAUUUUAAGGAUUUAUAAUACCCCAUUUCCGCUGGUUUUUCCCCAAUAUGUCAAUGUGUGAUGUGUCUAAGCCUCAUUAUUUCCUUUUGUUAUAGUCAUUAUUCAGCAUGAAGGGGAGCCUUGGCGCAGUGGUAAAGCUGCUGCCUUGUGACCAUGAGGUCAUGGGUUCAAGUCCUGGAAACAGCCUCUUACAGAAAUGUAGGGAAAGGCUGCGUACUAUAGACCCAAAGUGGUUGGACCCUUCCCUGGACCCUGCGCAAGCGGGAGCUACAUGCACCAGGUUGCCCUUUUAUAGUCAUUAUUCAGCAUGGAGCAGAACUGCACACUUAUCAAUGUAUAAUUUAUAUAAAGCUUGAUAUAUUGCAGAGUUGUGCUUCCAUCAUUUCCUAAUAUAUACUGAAAUUAAAAGUUCAGCUUCUAUUUUCCUUAAUAUGCUUUAAUUCCUAUGAUCAACGGCUACAGAUUUCUUCUAACACUGUAAUGCUAGGCUGGAGUUUGAGGUUUUCACUACUGCUCUCAUCUUCGAUGCCAUCUCAAACUACUAAAAUUUUAAAAUUAUGUUUCAUUUUCACCAGGAUUAGGUUCUUUUAUCCAUGUGGUGGUAUGGUUCAAAUGCGAGAACAGAUGCCAUGUAUUGCCAUGACAUACAUUGAACUUUGAGUUUUCGUCAAUGAUGUUGUUAUUUUUAUCUAUUUGUAGCGUCAUAUAAAUGAGUUUUGACAUGGUCAUUUUACAGGACGAGUAAACAAUGGUUGGUCGGUAGAAGCUUCACUUGCGACUGUGUGCCUUUCUGCCUUAAGAAGUUCUUUUCAUUGUCGAAGAACAACAUAAUGUUUAUGGGCCAGUUUUCAUGUGGUAUAGAAAUAUCAGUGAAUGUAGCAGAUAUUUUGCAUGAUCUUUAAAGCAUAGUCUCACACGGAGAACAGUCACAUUGUGUCAUAAGGUGAUAACUAUAAAGUCCACACCAUGUGAAAGACAUUAUAAAUUUAUGCAUUCAUAGGCUGUUUUCUACUAUGAGCACUUGAUUGUCUUGUGACUGUAGCCAUGGAUAAAGUAGAACUUAAUUUGAUGUGUAAUAUCAUGACGUGAGAUGUAGUUCUCCUGUUGAAUUAAUUCCAUUUAGAACCCCUGUGCUCGAGGUAGACAAGCAAAAUGGGUAGUGCAUCGUGUUAAAGCCUUCAGCCUUGCUUCCUAGAGAAAUAGAUAUAUGUUUCAAUGUCUUGGUGAGGUGUCUUUUGGUGGAUGGGAGCAAGCAGCACUGCAACAGUACCAGAUGGUGUGGGUAUGUUUCAAUUUUUUUUUUUUUUUUGCAUUUUGAGGGUACACUUCCAUCCUUUAGAAAAUUAUUCUCUUUUUGGAGAUGUUUCAAUAUCAACUAUUUUAAGAGGGCAGGCCUGGCGCAGUGGUGAAGUCCUCCCCACUUGUGCCAAGAGGUCCUGGGUUCGAACCAGCCUCUCUGCAUUGCACUUUGCAGGGGUAAGACUAGGUUCCUAUAAUCCCUCCCCAGACCCCACCUUGUGUGGGAGCUUCUAUGCACUGGGUCUGUCCUUCAAUAUCAACUAUUUUCAUCUUUUGAUUUCCAUUUAAUCCUGGUUCAGAGAGUGGCCUUUUUGUGCCUGGUAGUGUGGGUAUGUUUCAAUAUUGUCUGCAUUUUGAGGCUGCACUUCCAUCCUUUAGCAAAUUAUUCUCUUAUUCAAGAUGUUUCAAUAUCAACUAUUUUCAUCUUUCUAUUUCCAUUUUAAUCCUGGUUCCGACAGUGGCCUUUUUGUGCCUGUUAUUACACUUGAAUGCUAAAUUGCAAAGUGACACAUGAAUCGUUCUAAAGGACUGAUGGUGAUGUUUUCAUAUGGCCAUUCUUACUGGGUGGCUAUUUGCUCGGUCAUUUUUGUAAUCAUGAAAUGUUGAUAGAUGCUGGACAUGCAUAUCGUCCUAGUUAUUUCCAUAGUUUAUUUAAUAGAACAUUUAAGUUAUUUUAAAUAGAGGAAAAAGAUUUCUCCUGGUCCAUUACGUAAGAGUGAGUUUUAUCACAUAGCCCCUUUGUGGGAAAAGAUACAAGAGUUUGCACCCCCAAUCUCUUGUUUGUUGUAUCAAGUUCUUCUGCACCCAUGGUUGCUAAUUUGCUGACAACCCAUUCGUUCUAUAUGGUUGUUGACAAAAGGUGGUUAUCUGCACUGCCAUUGUUCAUGAAAAUUAUGUCAUACCAGGUUCUGAUAUUUAGCAUGCAUCGUUUAUAUUCUGAAAACAUGUGUUCUUUGUCCUUUCAAUAACUAACUUAAAUACUCCCUCCGUUCCUAAAUACUUGUCUUUCUAGUCAUUUCAACAAGUGACUACAUACGGAGCAAAAUGAGUGAAUCUACACUCUAAAAUAUGUCUACAUACAUCCGUAUGUAGUAGUCAUUUGAAAUGUCUAGAAAGACAAAUAUUUAGGAACGGAGGGAGUAUUAUGCAGAGCGUGAGAAAUUAAUGAUGUCAACUUUCUGAUGGGGAAAAAGGAAAACAUGUGCUUCUGUUAUAUGCCCGAAGAUUGUGCUUAAAUGGGAGAGCAUGAAUGUGUUUCAUUAAGCUGCCUUGGCCCCAGGUGUGUUCCAUAUUUCCAUUGUUGUCCCAUUUGCGACUAUCUUACUAUGUGCAGCCUAGGAUUUGGUUGAUCUUCUAUGCAGGCAUAAUCCGGUGAUGCAGUGCAAUGUUUUCAUGUUUCGAUUUCCAUUUUAAUCCUGGUUCAGAGAGUGACCAGUUCAUAAUGCGAAGCUCUACUGUUGAAUUCUAUCCUUCGGUGUUCCUUAGUUCCUUUGACCAUGCCACUCACUGAAAUGAGAGACAUGCUCGUAGUUAAUUUAAUUAUGCCAUCAGUGCUCAUAAACGGUCCAGCUGGGGAAUCCUUCGUUACCUAUACGUUAACGUUGUUCUUUUGUUUUUAUUGUUGUGUGAUACAUAUCCACCUAUGAUGACAAGUAGGUUCCCAAAGUUUUGUAUGGUAGCUGUAAGUUGGCAUCUUCCAAUUGCUGAUGGACCCUAAGUUUGAAUGUUGUACUUACUUGGUUUGUAAGGUCUUACGGUUUCAGUGCUUUAUUUGCUCAUGGAGCUAUGGCUCUGUUACGUUGGGCUAAGGUUUGAUUGCCUGCACGGGUACGGCAAGGUGUAGAUGCAGAUUCAUUGUCGAUGUUGAAUACUGGAGUAAGAAUGAUGAUCAAUGCUCUAAUGAACCUGCAUGCUGCAGCAUUACUAUCAGGAUAUAUGGGUUAGGCACAUACUCUUUUGACAGUGGGUUAACUAAGUGUGGUUUUCAGGUGAAGUUGCCUAUUAGUUUUUUUCAGCUUUCUUGUGUUGACUUCUCUUUUACUGUAAAGCAAAGGCUGGCAGUUAGUAUUCCCUGAUUCAAGAGUUUUUUUUACUUGGAAGAUCGGAACAUUGUCGAUAGAAGAAUGAGUUUUAUAGCAAACUAGGUUCAGACUUGUAUACUAAUUUCAUUUUGCGACACCAUGAUGGUUGUUGGGGUAUAAUUAAGACUUUGUUCCCACUGAACAUGAAAUGCUGGAUGAUGAUGAGAUCAUCUAUGACAGUGAUUGGCGGUGCACUGAUGAUUGUGAGUAUAUAUAUAGAUCACAUUAACACAUUUCUGAUAACUAUAGUUCUAACUCAUUGAUGGAUCCUUCUCUGUGUCUUAUGGCUCUAUGGGCCGAGCAUUCUUAUCUCUAGUUGGACAACACUAGCCUCUAUAGUAACACAUAUGCUCUGAGAUUUUUCUAGGAUCAUUCCUCCCAGGUGAUAACGAACCUGCUCAUAAUGUAGCAUAAGCUAAAUCGAUUCUAGAUUUUCUUUUUUGGCCCACUACAAUAAAAGAUCAUUCAUACUGAGCUUUUUUGUGCUACAACAGAAUUAUGGAUGACUGCUCUAUUUUUGAGAAUUGCUCUAUUUAAUCUUUGACAGUUCGGUCUAUAUAUGUCAUGGGUUUAGCUAUUAGCGUUGUUGAUUGCAACCUUGCGGACCUCCUGCUUAUUGCUUUUCAUUAUUCUUUGUGUAGGUCACAUACACCAACAUCUAAAAUAAAUCCAGCAGGCAGUUGAGAGUUUUUCGGCUGUGAUGAUUACCAAUGCAGAUAGAGCUAUCUAAUCCAGCUUUCGCUUGAUUUUCGUCACUGAGCUACCAACCUUCUUUUUUCCCCUUUCCUAUUACUACAAGUGUAUGAUUUUGGCAUCCACAAGGUUAAUCUCAAGUCACUACACAAAAAGAAGUUGUGCUAGAGACGGCAAUACCGUACUUCAAUUCCAUACAUGAGUUUCUACCAUCCGCCGGAAUGGGAAAUUGCAGAAAUAGAGGAAAGGUGAGUCAUUCAGUUGCGGCACGAUCGUUGACGAUGUAGGAUUGAAUAUGGUUAAGGGCAGGAUGCCGCUUUCAUCAACAGAAAAGAUUACCAGACCACUUGGAGUUGGAGGUGACAUGAGCCUUGUGAUCAAUUCUGCCGGUAUUCAGUAGCUUUUUUAGCGGUGCUUGUUGGCUUUUGGUAGCAUGCUUGAUAAUUUCCCCGUGUUAGCAUGCGUAAGCGGGUGAAUGGAUUAUCUUGUAAUGAGGAACUUCUAGUUUCUUGAAGCAGCAACAAUCAUGUCCUCCUUUGUUGAAUUUGCUAGAGAAUGCAUAGUUUGGUCAGUUUGCUAUUUUACAAACUCUACAGUUUGCUUCCCAAUUUUUAUCCAGUUUUUGGAUUCAUCUCCCAUAAGGGGUACCAUUGCUUAGUUUUUGCAUGGUGGC